RNAcentral lists this ribosomal RNA (106 nucleotides) under Bacteroides neonati. RNAcentral also lists the same sequence under 1 other name. Lineage: Bacteria; Pseudomonadati; Bacteroidota; Bacteroidia; Bacteroidales; Bacteroidaceae. The record is from RNAcentral.
AGGUGGCUAUAGCAUCAGGGUUCCACCUCUUCCCAUUCCGAACAGAGAAGUUAAGCCUGAUCACGCCGAUGGUACUGCGUAACAGUGGGAGAGUAGGUAGCCGCCA